CCCAGACUCCUACGGGAGGCAGCAGUGGGGAAUAUUGGGCAAUGGGGGAAACCCUGACCCAGCGACGCCGCGUGAGGGAAGAAGGUUUUCGGAUUGUAAACCUCUGUCCUUGGUGACGAUAAUGACGGUAGCCAAGGAGGAAGCCACGGCUAACUACGUGCCAGCAGCCGCGGUAAUACGUAGGGAGCGAGCGUUGUCCGGAAUUACUGGGUGUAAAGGGAGCGUAGGCGGGCGAGAAAGUUGAAUGUUAAAUCUACCGGCUUAACUGGUAGCUGCGUUCAAAACUUCUUGUCUUGAGUGAAGUAGAGGCAGGCGGAAUUCCUAGUGUAGCGGUGAAAUGCGUAGAUAUUAGGAGGAACACCAGUGGCGAAGGCGGCCUGCUGGGCUUUAACUGACGCUGAGGCUCGAAAGCGUGGGGAGCAAACAGGAUUAGAUACCCCAGUA
Molecule: ribosomal RNA, 444 nt
Filed under: uncultured bacterium
Lineage: Bacteria
Description: partial 16S ribosomal RNA
Rfam family: Bacterial small subunit ribosomal RNA
Source: RNAcentral